GUGGGGAAUCUUGCGCAAUGGGCGAAAGCCUGACGCAGCCAUGCCGCGUGAAUGAUGAAGGUCUUAGGAUUGUAAAAUUCUUUCACCGGGGACGAUAAUGACGGUACCCGGAGAAGAAGCUCCGGCUAACUUCGUGCCAGCAGCCGCGGUAAUACGAAGGGGGCUAGCGUUGCGCGGAAUUACUGGGCGUAAAGGGCGCGUAGGCGGACAGCUUAGUCAGAGGUGAAAGCACAGGGCUCCACCUUGGAAUUGCCUUUGAUACUGGCUGGCUUGAAGUUGGGAGAGGUGAGUGGAACUCCGAGUGUAGAGGUGAAAUUCGUAGAUAUUCGGAAGAACACCAGUGGCGAAGGCGACUCACUGGCCCAAUACUGACGCUGAGACGCGAAAGCGUGGGGAGCAAACAGGAUUAGAAACCCCGGUAGUCC
Molecule: ribosomal RNA, 425 nt
Filed under: uncultured bacterium
Lineage: Bacteria
Description: partial 16S ribosomal RNA
Rfam family: Bacterial small subunit ribosomal RNA
Source: RNAcentral